AUAAGUUGCCGAAUUUCAGCGUUGAAAACGGGGGAACCAUUUUUUGGGUGAAUUAUUCUUGCAUAAAAGGGAAUAUAGGGAACCUUUAACCGAAUCCUCAGCUAACUCCGUAGGCAUUGAAGGGAGAA
This 128-nucleotide small RNA is filed under the name Paenibacillus ihuae. Its description in RNAcentral is "ydaO/yuaA leader". It matches the Rfam family "c-di-AMP riboswitch aptamer (ydaO/yuaA leader)". Rfam says of the family: This family represents a conserved RNA structure found upstream of the ydaO and yuaA genes in Bacillus subtilis and related genes in other bacteria. The ydaO/yuaA element is thought to act as a genetic "off" switch for the ydaO and yuaA genes in its native state. Lineage: Bacteria; Bacillati; Bacillota; Bacilli; Caryophanales; Paenibacillaceae. The record is from RNAcentral.